UCACGCUGUGGUGCCGGCCUACAACCCC
This 28-nucleotide non-coding RNA is filed under the name Homo sapiens (human). The record is from RNAcentral. Lineage: Eukaryota; Metazoa; Chordata; Mammalia; Primates; Hominidae.